GUGGGAAAGGCGGCCAGAGAAAUCGGAUUAGGGAGAAGGGGGUUACGAGAGGGCGAAGUGGCUGGGAAAGGAGGUGGCAUGAGAUGCAGCAGCCCCUGGGGAAGGAGGCGAUGGGGAUGGCAGUGGAGGCGAACUGGAGCAGACAGCGCGAUGGAACAAAGCGGGAAGUCAAGGGUGCUAAGGAAAUGCAAACUUUUUCUUGUGGUCUUCGGUUAGGAGACAGCUAAUAAUACCACCCAACCACAAUCCAAACUCGGGUCACAGAGAAAGAAAAGUCCAAUUUGUACAUAGCCACGUACUUUACCGAUGUUUGUCUGGAAGCGGAGUAACCUACUGAAAAGAUAACGGCAACGCGGCUCUUUAUCUCAGUUUACCUAAACUACUAUUACCUGUCACAGACUCUUAACUGGAGCAUCAUUCCCCAGCUGCAAAAGGUCAUGCUGCUUUCUCCAGUUUCUUCAAGAUUGCUGCACAAGAGGAGCUCCCAGUGAAAUAGAAGCACUUAAUUUUGAAAACUCUCACAAACCUCCUUUAAUAGAGGUCUGGAAUAAUUAAAUGUAUUUUUGUUGUACUUUAAAUGUUAACUCUGUCAACAGUAUCAUGCCCCAAUCCUGCAAGAUUUAUGCACAUGCUUAAUUUUAAGUACAAGUAGUCCCCUCAAACUCAGUGUGACUGCUCAUAUGCUUAAUGUUAAGAAAGUGUGUAAGUUUUUGCAGAAUCAGGAACUUACUCAUAUUUUCUACCUUUAGCUUAUGGAACGUUUCCUUGAGUCAGAGUGUGGUGCUGCAGUAUGUCAGCAGAGUCAGUCUGAACUCAAUGGAGAAUUAAAAAAAAAAAUCUAAAAUAGCCUUUGUUGUAAUAGAAUGAGAAAGUCUUACCAAUAUCAAGUUUAGUGGGCAAAAGUUGGUAUUGAGUGCUAUCCAUUACAAGACAUAAGAAUUACAGGUAUGGAAACUAAAUUUCUUUUUUAC
Mauremys reevesii (Reeves's turtle) is the source of this 971-nucleotide long non-coding RNA. RefSeq lists it as uncharacterized. The record is from RefSeq and is a predicted model, not a curated record. Lineage: Eukaryota; Metazoa; Chordata; Testudines; Geoemydidae. The transcript is spliced from 4 exons.